This 483-nucleotide non-coding RNA is filed under the name Pan troglodytes (chimpanzee). The record is from RNAcentral. Lineage: Eukaryota; Metazoa; Chordata; Mammalia; Primates; Hominidae.
CAAAGAGUCGGUUUGAGUUGCAUGACUGACAUCUUCUGGCUACAGUGGAUAUUACAGAAAGACUGAAACUCCGCAAAGGUGUGUUUGAAAAAAAGAAAAGCACCCUGGAAUUUGGAUCAUUAAGUAUCUGCCAUUUAGAAUGUGCCCACAACUGCCAAAUCAAUAAUAGAAUAAAGCAAGGGGAAUCCCUGAGUCUUCAUGGAGUAACAGCCACACCUUCUUAAGGGGAUCAAGGGGCAAGGUGACUUGAAGACAAUAUUAUCAUGAUAAAUAAGGAAAUAAGGGAAAGUGUGGAAGGUUUUCAUCUCAAUGGACAUGAAAAAGUGUGCAUUAUUAGAGUGCAUUUAAUAAGCCAGGAUUAUCACCUAGAGUUGCAGAGCAAGACAAAGCAAGUAGAGUCGGUAUCUGGAGACCUUUUUGCAAAGAAGAGACAAGCUCUCUCUAGGCUAUAUCACUAGUCUCAACUUCCUGGGCUCCAGCCAU